RNAcentral lists this ribosomal RNA (486 nucleotides) under uncultured bacterium. RNAcentral describes it as "bacterial SSU rRNA". It matches the Rfam family "Bacterial small subunit ribosomal RNA", at positions 30 to 507 of the family's 1533-position model. The record is from RNAcentral.
AUUGAACGCUGGCGGCAUGCCUUACACAUGCAAGUCGAACGGUAACAGGUCUUCGGAUGCUGACGAGUGGCGAACGGGUGAGUAAUAUAUCGGAACGUGCCCAGUCGUGGGGGAUAACGCAGCGAAAGCUGUGCUAAUACCGCAUACGAUCUAUGGAUGAAAGCGGGGGAUCGCAAGACCUCGCGCGAUUGGAGCGGCCGAUAUCAGAUUAGGUAGUUGGUGGGGUAAAGGCCCACCAAGCCAACGAUCUGUAGCUGGUCUGAGAGGACGACCAGCCACACUGGGACUGAGACACGGCCCAGACUCCUACGGGAGGCAGCAGUGGGGAAUUUUGGACAAUGGGCGAAAGCCUGAUCCAGCCAUGCCGCGUGCAGGAUGAAGGCCGUUCGGGUUAGUAAACUGUCUUUUGUACGGAAACGAAAAGACUCCUUCUAAUAAAGGGGGUCCAUGACGGUACCGUAAGAAUAAGCACCGGCUAACUACGUG